UGCCGGUGUAGCUCAAUUGGUAGAGCAACUGACUUGUAAUCAGUAGGUUGAGGGUUCAAGUCCUUUCGCCGGCAUCC
RNAcentral lists this transfer RNA (77 nucleotides) under Sporosarcina sp. NCCP-2331. RNAcentral's name for it is "tRNA-Thr". It matches the Rfam family "tRNA". Rfam says of the family: Transfer RNA (tRNA) molecules are approximately 80 nucleotides in length. Lineage: Bacteria; Bacillati; Bacillota; Bacilli; Caryophanales; Caryophanaceae. The record is from RNAcentral. RNAcentral also lists the same sequence under 1 other name.